GCCGGGUGUGGUGGCGCACACCUGUAGUCCCAGCUACUCAGGAGGCUGAGGCAGAAGAAUCGCUUGAACCUGGGAGGCAGAGGUUGCAGUGAGCAGAGAUUGCACCACUGUACUACAGCCUGGUUGACAGAGCGAGACUCUGUCUCAA
Unclassified non-coding RNA from Callithrix jacchus (white-tufted-ear marmoset), 148 nucleotides. It matches the Rfam family "Metazoan signal recognition particle RNA". Rfam says of the family: The signal recognition particle (SRP) is a universally conserved ribonucleoprotein. It is involved in the co-translational targeting of proteins to membranes. The record is from Ensembl. Lineage: Eukaryota; Metazoa; Chordata; Mammalia; Primates; Cebidae.